GACGAACGCUGGCGGCGUGCUUAACACAUGCAAGUCGAGCGGUAAGGCCCUUUCGGGGGUACACGAGCGGCGAACGGGUGAGUAACACGUGGGUGACCUGCCCUCAGCUCUGGGAUAAGCCUGGGAAACCGGGUCUAAUACUGGAUAUGACUCCAUGACGCAUGUUGUGGGGUGGAAAGCCUUGUGCGGCUGAGGAUGGGCCCGCGGCCUAUCAGCUUGUUGGUGGGGUGANGGCCUACCAAGGCGACGACGGGUAGCCGGCCUGAGAGGGCGACCGGCCACACUGGGACUGAGACACGGCCCAGACUCCGUACGGGAGGCAGCAGGUGGGGAAUCUUGCGCAAUGGGCGAAAGCCUGACGCAGCGACGCCGCGUGA
This 377-nucleotide ribosomal RNA is filed under the name uncultured bacterium. RNAcentral describes it as "bacterial SSU rRNA". It matches the Rfam family "Bacterial small subunit ribosomal RNA", at positions 28 to 404 of the family's 1533-position model. The record is from RNAcentral.